Molecule: ribosomal RNA, 1369 nt
Filed under: uncultured bacterium
Lineage: Bacteria
Description: bacterial SSU rRNA
Rfam family: Bacterial small subunit ribosomal RNA
Source: RNAcentral
GAUGAACGCUGGCGGCGUGCCUAAUACAUGCAAGUCGAGCGAACGGACGAGAAGCUUGCUUCUCUGAUGUUAGCGGCGGACGGGUGAGUAACACGUGGAUAACCUACCUAUAAGACUGGGAUAACUUCGGGAAACCGGAGCCAAUACCGGAUAAUAUUUUGAACCGCAUGGUUCAAAAGUGAAAGACGGUCUUGCUGUCACUUAUAGAUGGAUCCGCGCUGCAUUAGCUAGUUGGUAAGGUAACGGCUUACCAAGGCAACGAUGCAUAGCCGACCUGAGAGGGUGAUCGGCCACACUGGAACUGAGACACGGUCCAGACUCCUACGGGAGGCAGCAGUAGGGAAUCUUCCGCAAUGGGCGAAAGCCUGACGGAGCAACGCCGCGUGAGUGAUGAAGGUCUUCGGAUCGUAAAACUCUGUUAUUAGGGAAGAACAUAUGUGUAAGUAACUGUGCACAUCUUGACGGUACCUAAUCAGAAAGCCACGGCUAACUACGUGCCAGCAGCCGCGGUAAUACGUAGGUGGCAAGCGUUAUCGGGAAUUUAUGGGCGUAGCGCGCGUAGGCGGUUUUUUAGUCUGAUGUGAAAGCCCACGGCUCACCCGUGGAGGGUCAUUGGAAACUGGAAAACUUGAGUGCAGAAGAGGAAAGUGGAAUUCCAUGUGUAGCGGUGAAAUGCGCAGAGAUAUGGAGGAACACCAGUGGCGAAGGCGACUUUCUGGUCUGUAACUGACGCUGAUGUGCGAAAGCGUGGGGAUCAAACAGGAUUAGAUACCCUGGUAGUCCACGCCGUAAACGAUGAGUGCUAAGUGUUAGGGGGUUUCCGCCCCUUAGUGCUGCAGCUAACGCAUUAAGCACUCCGCCUGGGGAGUACGACCGCAAGGUUGAAACUCAAAGGAAUUGACGGGGACCCGCACAAGCGGUGGAGCAUGUGGUUUAAUUCGAAGCAACGCGAAGAACCUUACCAAAUCUUGACAUCCUUUGACAACUCUAGAGAUAGAGCCUUCCCCUUCGGGGGACAAAGUGACAGGUGGUGCAUGGUUGUCGUCAGCUCGUGUCGUGAGAUGUUGGGUUAAGUCCCGCAACGAGCGCAACCCUUAAGCUUAGUUGCCAUCAUUAAGUUGGGCACUCUAAGUUGACUGCCGGUGACAAACCGGAGGAAGGUGGGGAUGACGUCAAAUCAUCAUGCCCCUUAUGAUUUGGGCUACACACGUGCUACAAUGGACAAUACAAAGGGCAGCGAAACCGCGAGGUCAAGCAAAUCCCAUAAAGUUGUUCUCAGUCCGGAUUGUAGUCUGCAACUCGACUACAUGAAGCUGGAAUCGCUAGUAAUCGUAGAUCAGCAUGCUACGGUGAAUACGUUCCCGGGUCU